This 23-nucleotide microRNA is filed under the name Melibe leonina. RNAcentral describes it as "mle-miR-124-5p". Its record names the gene mle-miR-124-5p. Lineage: Eukaryota; Metazoa; Mollusca; Gastropoda; Nudibranchia; Dendronotidae. The record is from miRBase by way of RNAcentral.
GUGUUCACUGUGUAAGCCUUGGU